UGGGGAAUAUUGGACAAUGGGGGAAACCCUGAUCCAGCGACGCCGCGUGAGUGAAGAAGUAUUUCGGUAUGUAAAGCUCUAUCAGCAGGGAAGAAAAUGACGGUACCUGACUAAGAAGCCCCGGCUAACUACGUGCCAGCAGCCGCGGUAAUACGUAGGGGGCAAGCGUUAUCCGGAUUUACUGGGUGUAAAGGGAGCGCAGACGGCGAAGCAAGUCUGAAGUGAAAUGCAUGGGCUCAACCCAUGAAUUGCUUUGGAAACUGUUUGGCUUGAGUGUCGGAGGGGUAAGCGGAAUUCCUAGUGUAGCGGUGAAAUGCGUAGAUAUUAGGAGGAACACCGGAGGCGAAGGCGGCUUACUGGACGACAACUGACGUUGAGGCCCGAAGGCGUGGGGAGCAAACAGGAUUAGAUACCCUGGUAGUCCACGCAGUAAACGAUGAAUACUUGGUGUCGGGGAGGUAAACUCUUCGGUGCCGCAAGCAAACGCAUUAAGUAUUCCACCUGGGGAGUACGUUCGCAAGAAUG
This 525-nucleotide ribosomal RNA is filed under the name uncultured bacterium. RNAcentral's name for it is "bacterial SSU rRNA". It matches the Rfam family "Bacterial small subunit ribosomal RNA", at positions 355 to 896 of the family's 1533-position model. The record is from RNAcentral.